Hypanus sabinus (Atlantic stingray) is the source of this 2390-nucleotide long non-coding RNA. RefSeq lists it as uncharacterized. The record is from RefSeq and is a predicted model, not a curated record. NCBI's taxonomy places the organism in Eukaryota, Metazoa, Chordata, Chondrichthyes, Myliobatiformes, Dasyatidae. The transcript has 3 exons.
GGGACAGAGAGGCCGGGAGAGAGAUGGAGAGGUUGUUAGAGAGCGAGAGAAGGAAGGAGAGAGAGAGAGAGUCAGAGAGAGUGAGAGGGACAGAGAGGUCAGGAGAGAGAUGGAGAGGUUGUUAGAGAGCGAGAGAGGGAGGGAGGGAGAGAGAGUCAGAGAGAUUGAGAGGGACAGAGGUCGGGAGAGAGAUGGAGAGGUUGUUAGAGAGCGAGAGAGGGAGAGAGAGAGAGUCAGAGAGAGUGAGAGGGACAGAGAGGUCGGGAGAGAGACGGAGAGGUUGUUAGAGCGCGAGGGAGGGAGCGAGAGAGAGUCAGAGAGAUUGAGAGGGACAGAGGUCGGGAGAGAGAUGGAGAGGUUGUUAGAGAGCGAGAGAGGGAGGGAGGGAGAGAGAGAGUGAGGGACAGAGAGAGAGACGGAGAGGUUGUUAGUGAGCGAGAGAGGGAGGGAGGGAGAGAGAGUCAGAGAGAGUGAGAGGUACAGAGAGGUCGGGAGAGAGACGGAGAGGUUGUUAGAGAGCGAGAGAGGGAGAGAGAGAGAGAGUGUCAGAGAGUGAGAGGGACAGAGAGUUCGGGAGAGAGAUGGAGAGGUUGUUAGAGAGCGAGAGAGGGAGGGAGAGAGAGAGAGUCAGAGAGUGAGAGGGACAGAGAGGUCGGGAGAGAGACGGAGAUAUUGUUAGUGAGCGAGAGAGGGAUGGAGAGAGAGAGAGUCAGAGAGAGUGAGAGGGACAGAGAGGUCGGGAGGGAGACGGAGAGGUUGUUAGAGAGCGAGAGAGGGAGAGAGAGUGUGAGGGACAGAGAGGUCGGGAGAGAGAUGGAGAGGUUGUUAGAGAGCGAGAGAGGGAGGGAGAGAGAGAGAGAGAGAGAGGGACAGAGAGGUCGGGAGAGAGACGGAGAGGUUGUUAGAGAGCGAGAGAGGGAGGGAGAGAGAGAGAGUCAGAGAAAAUGAGAGGGACAGAGAGGUCGGGAGAGAGAUGGAGAGGUUAUUAGAGAGCGAGAGAGGGAGGGAGAGAGAGAGAGUCAGAGAGAGUGAGAGGGACAGAGACGUCGGGAGAGAGAGAGAGAGUCAGAGAGAGUGAGAGGGACAGAGACGUCGGGAGAGAGACAGAGAUGUUAGAGAGCGAGAGAGGGAAGGAGAGAGAGAGAGAGUCAGAGAGUGAGAGGGACAGAGAGGUCGGGAGAGAGACGGAGAGGUUGUUAGUGAGCGAGAGAGAGAGAGAGUCAGAGAAAAUGAGAGGGACAGAGAGGUCGGGAGAGAGAUGGAGAGGUUAUUAGAGAGCGAGAGAGGGAGGGAGAGAGAGAGAGUCAGAGAGAGUGAGAGGGACAGAGACGUCGGGAGAGAGAGAGAGAGUCAGAGAGAGUGAGAGGGACAGAGACGUCGGGAGAGAGACAGAGAUGUUAGAGAGCGAGAGAGGGAAGGAGAGAGAGAAAGAGUCAGAGAGAGUGAGAGGAACAGAGAGGUCGGGAGAGAGACGGAGAGGUUGUUAGUGAGCGAGAGAGGGAGGGGGAGUGAGAGAGUCAGAGAGAGUGAGAGGGACAGAGGUCGGGAGAGAGACGGAGAGGUUGUUAGAGAGCGAGAGAGGGAAGGAGAGAGAGAAAGAGUCAGAGAGAGUGAGAGGGACAGAGAGGUCGGGAGUGAGACGGAGAUGUUGUUAGAGAGCGAGAGAGGGAGGGAGAGAGAGAGAGAGAUUCAGAGAGAGUGAGAGGGACAGAGGUCGGGAGAGAGACGGAGAUAUUGUUAGAGAGCAAGAGAGGGAGGGAGAGAGAGAGAGUCAGAGAGUGAGGGGGACAGAGAGGUCGGGAGAGAGAUGGUUGUUAGAGAGCGAGAGAGGGAGGGAGAGAGAGAGAGUCGGAGAGAGUGAGAGGAACAGAGAGGUCAGGAGAGAGACGGAGAGGUUGUUAGAGAGCGAGAGAGGGAGGGAGGGAGAGAGAGAGUCAGACAGAGUGAGAGGGACAGAGAGGUCAGGAGAGAGACGGAGAGGUUGUUAGAGAGCGAGAGAGGGAGGGAGGGAGAGAGAGAGUCAGACAGAGUGAGAGGGACAGAGAGGUCGGAGAGAGACGGAGAUGUUGUUAGAGAGCGAGAGAGGGAGGGAGAGAGAGAGAGAGAGUCAGAGGGAGUGAGAGUGACAGAGAGGUCGGGAGAGAGACGGAGAGGUUGUUAGAGAGCGAGGGAGGGAGAGAGAGAGUGUGAAGGACAGAGAGGUCGGGAGAGAGACGGAGAGGUUGUUACAGAGCGAGAGAGGGAAGGAGAGAGAGAGGGAGUCAGAGAGUGAGAGGGACAGAGGUCGGGAGAGAGAUGGAGAGGUUGUUAGAGAGCGAGAGAGGGAGGGAGGGAGAGAGUCAGAGAGAGUGAGAGGGACAGAGAGGUCGGGAGAGAGACGGUGAGGUUGU